CAUGUAGGCGGCUUAAUAAGUCGAGCGUGAAAAUGCGGGGCUCAACCCCGUAUGGCGCUGGAAACUGUUAGGCUUGAGUGCAGGAGAGGAAAGGGGAAUUCCCAGUGUAGCGGUGAAAUGCGUAGAUAUUGGGAGGAACACCAGUGGCGAAGGCGCCUUUCUGGACUGUGCCUGACGCUGAGAUGCGAAAGCCAGGGUAGCGAACG
This 206-nucleotide ribosomal RNA is filed under the name uncultured bacterium. RNAcentral describes it as "partial 16S ribosomal RNA". It matches the Rfam family "Bacterial small subunit ribosomal RNA", at positions 568 to 774 of the family's 1533-position model. The record is from RNAcentral.